This 253-nucleotide ribosomal RNA is filed under the name uncultured bacterium. RNAcentral's name for it is "partial 16S ribosomal RNA". It matches the Rfam family "Bacterial small subunit ribosomal RNA", at positions 524 to 776 of the family's 1533-position model. The record is from RNAcentral.
UACAGAGGGUGCAAGCGUUAAUCGGAAUUACUGGGCGUAAAGCGUGCGUAGACGGUUAUGUAAGUCAGAUGUGAAAGCCCCGGGCUUAACCUGGGAACUGCGUUUGAAACUGGGAGACUUGAGUGUGGCAGAGGGGGGUGGAAUUCCACGUGUAGCAGUGAAAUGCGUAGAUAUGUGGAGGAACACCGAUGGCGAAGGCAGCCCCCUGGGUUAACACUGACGCUCAUGCACGAAAGCGUGGGGAGCAAACAGG